AGUGAAUAGAUACCCGGGUAGUCCGCACAGUAAACGAUAAUCACUAGGUGUCGGUGGGAUAGACCUGUCGGUGCCGUAGCUAAACGCGAUAAGUGAUUCGCCUGGGGAGUACGAUCGCAAGGUUGAAACUCAAAGGAAUUGACGGGGGCCGCACAAGCGGUGGAGCAUGUGGUUUAAUUCGAUGCAACGCGAAGAACCUUACCUGGGCUUGACAUCUGCCAGAUUCUUCAGAGAUGAGGGGAGUUGCCCCUUCGGGGUAAGUGGCAAGACAGGUGCUGCAUGGCUGUCGUCCAGCUCGUGUCGUGAGAUGUUGGGUUAAGUCCCGCAACGAGCGCAACCCCUGCUUCCAGUUACCGUCAUAAGUUGGGGACUCUGGAAGGACCGCUGCAGUAA
RNAcentral lists this ribosomal RNA (393 nucleotides) under uncultured bacterium. Its description in RNAcentral is "bacterial SSU rRNA". It matches the Rfam family "Bacterial small subunit ribosomal RNA", at positions 774 to 1160 of the family's 1533-position model. The record is from RNAcentral.